Molecule: ribosomal RNA, 254 nt
Filed under: uncultured prokaryote
Description: partial 16S ribosomal RNA
Rfam family: Bacterial small subunit ribosomal RNA
Source: RNAcentral
ACGAAGGGGGCUAGCGUUGCUCGGAAUCACUGGGCGUAAAGCGCACGUAGGCGGGUUGCCAAGUCGGAGGUGAAAUCCUGGAGCUCAACUCCAGAACUGCCUUCGAUACUGGCGAUCUUGGAGUCCGGGAGAGGUGAGUGGAACUGCGAGUGUAGAGGUGAAAUUCGUAGAUAUUCGCAAGAACACCAGUGGCGAAGGCGGCUCACUGGCCCGGUACUGACGCUGAGGUGCGAAAGCGUGGGGAGCAAACAGGA